Cloeon dipterum is the source of this 1409-nucleotide RNA transcript. RefSeq lists it as uncharacterized. The record is from RefSeq and is a predicted model, not a curated record. NCBI's taxonomy places the organism in Eukaryota, Metazoa, Arthropoda, Insecta, Ephemeroptera, Baetidae. The transcript is spliced from 10 exons.
CGCCUGCCGCCUGCCUGUUGCAUCCGUCGGCUCAGACAGACUGACAGACAAGACGCGCUGAUUGCUUUGCACUGAAAAACAUUCGAUUUAACGGAUUUCACACGGAUUAAACUCCAGCUUUCGUCUCAUCGGUUGAAAUUUGCUUCGACACUUUCAGCAAUGGUUGGAUGCGAAAACCGCGAUCCCCGGCUGCAGAGGAGAGUAGAGGAGCGACAGGGCAACGCGGACGGCUCGCUUUCGCAGCCACUCGCGAUUGCCGCCGAAGUCAUGCAGGAUCAUCGUAUGGACCUGGCGGCGGCAAUCGCAGACAACCCUCAGUUUAACAGAGGGUUCAACGCCAUGAGGAGGGAGCUUCACCCUCUAGGUCUCGCCAGGCGCCUCGUGGCAACCUACUCCUCCUCAUCUUCCUUUGCCCCCUCAAACCACCCGAUUGUCGCGUCCAGAGCGGAGUCUGUUGGCCAUGCCGGCCUUGUGGAGGCACCCUGCUCGUAUGCUGGCAUAGUAGCUGCCGCACCGUCAGAACAGUCGUCGAGGAAGCGCGCCCUUUCGCCGAGCCACGCUUCGCAAAGCGAGCUGCUGUCGAAGCAGUUCAAGGAAGACAGGCUGCGUCGCCAACAGCAAGGCUCAGCAGAGCGGCGGUUCGCUUCAGUGCGAAAGCAUCUUUUUUGACGGAGACUUCUGCUGGAGUAUAUAGGGGCGUGACCCUUUUAUUAAGGGUUUUGCAAUAUGUGAAAAAGCUGGCUCGAGCUCGAGACCGAUUUGGGUAAUGGAUUUAGGGGCGUGGUUUCCAGCUGCUCAUGCAUCUCCCAACGGCGACCACCCUCGGCAGAGCUGCUUCCUCGUCCAGCAGAGUCUGCAACUAAAUGUGAAGUUAUAUCAGCAGGUCCAGCCAAGUAUAUUUGUAGAUAUAUAAUUCCCAAAAUCUCGGUUGCCUUGAUCGACAUGAGUUGGAAAAUUUUCUUGCUGACUUCGAGAGAAGAAUCAGAGGCCAGCUUCAUCAUGAGACGAUGAGUCAAUCAGCUGUCUCCUCUGCCAGUGGCCAAUCAGCCCAACCUUGAGAGGACCUCUCAACAGAGCUAUCUCUUUAGAGAACCCUGGGGUGUCGCAUUUGAAUUCCAGUCGUGUGUCCAGUCUUCAAGUGACACAAAAGAGGGUCGAAAUAUAUCCUGGCCAGGCCCACGGAGGCGAGGAGGGAGAGAAACGCCAAAUUCUUCACUCCUCUGUCAGGGCUAGCAGAUGAAAAGCAGCCUGAUGGACAUUCCCUCCACCUGCUUGCCAGAGAAGGUAGGCAAAAGGUUAUGUGUUUGUUUCGAGACGGAAGCGAAGAAUCUAGUCAUUUUUUUAUUGAAAGACAAUAAAUCCCCUUAAAAAUUUACAAUGUUUAUAAUAAAACCACAUGAACAUUUUGC